CCCUCUGCUCCCCUAAAUUGGGAGGGCCACCGAGUGUCGGCCGGUGUGCCGGUUCACUUCGGGUCUAGCCAGCGAGGGGUGCACUGCGCAACAUCCCACCGCACGAACAACAUCAUGGCCGACCUCGCUGCCAGAGAUGUUGAGAGGGCUCAGUUCGCCUUCUCCAUCUACGACUUCGAAGGCAAGGAUGAGGUUGACGCCUACUACCUGGGCGACGUGCUGCGUGCGCUCAACCUCAACCCCACCCUGGCCAUGAUCGAGAAGCUGGGCGGACAGAAGAUCAAGAAGCAGAAGAAGCUGAAGCUGGACGAGUUCCUGCCCAUCUUCUCGCAGGUCAAGAAGGACAAGGACCAGGGUGGCUACGAAGACUUCAUGGAGUGCCUGAAGCUGUACGACAAGGCGGAGAACGGCACCAUGAUGGCGGCUGAGCUGUCGCACGUGCUGCUCUCUCUCGGUGAGCGGCUGACGGAAAAGGAGGUCAACGACAUCAUGGCCGAGUGCUGCGACGAAGAGGAUGAGGACGGCUUUAUUCCUUACGAGCCCUUCGUCAAAAAGCUGAUAGCCGGCCCCUUCCCGGAUGCGAAGUAAAUUCGCAAACUUCGACAUUCAAGCUCAGAGGUAGCUGCCCUAUUGCUGACCGAUUUACCACCCCAGCCACCCGGUUCCCGCAUGUAGAUUGCACCGUGUAGAUCGUACCUUCACGCACCAAUACCCCCAUUGGAACAGCUACAGUUUGCCUCCGACGCACGUCACCUGAGCUGCCCCAACCCCGGAGCACUUCGGGGACUUAGCGCGGGCUCUUCCACCCCGCUUUGAACCACUCACCCUUGACAUUUCACCCAAGCGACCUCUGAAUGACGGCGCUUUUCAGACCCUAUUGACCCCUGCAACCCUCUCUGACCAGCAACCACGGGUCUCAUGACAUACUUUUGAGCGUGCUCCUGCUCUCUGUAACAGCCUUGUCCAAUCGGUGGCUCUGUUACAGCCUUUGUAAAACGGCUACUGGCCGGCCCCAACCCCGAGAAGAAGUAAGCGCGUCGGCGCAGUUCCUCCGCAGGUAAACGAACCAACAUCUCGACCCAUCUUUCACUGGGAGGUGGCCUCCCGGCCGCCGAGUCACCUGGCGGCCUCGCUCAGCAGCUGUGUGCAGUCUGCGCGUGGUGAGCGCGGCGCGCGCGAGCCGGCGCCGCCGCCGCCGACCGCCGCCGCCGCCCCCUCGGCCCGGGCGGCAGCGACGCGGCCGACACAGUGGCGGCGCCGGCCACCUUCACUUCCAGGGAAUUUUUUUUUUAUAAGCUCCGCCAGCUCGAACCCAUACAUAUGUAUAUUUCACUCGUGAUGUGUGCGUGUGAAUAUUGGUGCGUGUCGCGCGCCGCUGUGCGUGUGCGUGUGGCGUGCCGCGUCCGGAGCCCUCUCGCCAGGGCGGACUGAGUGCGAUCUAGUCAGCUCCCGCUGCAGAGAGCGCCCCGACGUAAGUCGGUGUUGACGCUCUGGCGCGGGAGUGUGCGCGCCCGCUCCGCUGCCUGGUGCCGACCGGCCGGCGUGGCGGAGCGCUCGUCUGUCCGUCUGUCCGUGGUCGUCUGUCCGUGGUCCGUGUCGGUCCGUUGUCCGUUGUGCCCGAGUCCUUUCCGUUAACUUGACAUCACAGAAGAGUCAGCAUCAUCAGUCAGUACCAUCCGGCAAAUCUGUUUUAUCAAGUUUCGGAACAAUAUGUAAAUAAAUUUGUAAAUUAAA
This is an RNA transcript of Amphibalanus amphitrite, 1734 nucleotides long. It is a transcript of the gene named myosin light chain 1-like, with no coding region annotated. The record is from RefSeq and is a predicted model, not a curated record. Lineage: Eukaryota; Metazoa; Arthropoda; Thecostraca; Balanomorpha; Balanidae. The transcript has 7 exons.